CCUACGGGGGACAGCAGUGGGGAAUAUUGCACAAUGGGGGAAACCCUGAUGCAGCGACGCCGCGUGCGUGAAGAAGUAUCUCGGUACGUAAAGCUCUAUCAGCAGGGAAGAAAAUGACGGUACCUGACUAAGAAGCCCCUGCGAACUACGUGCCAGCAGCCGAGGUAAUACGUAGGGGGCAAGCGUUGUCCGGAUGUACUGGGGGGAAAGGGAGCGUAGACGGCUGCACAAGUCUGGGGUGAAAUCCCGGGGCUUAAACCCGGAACUGCUUUGGAAACUGUGCAGCGGGAGUGCAGGAGGGGUAAGCGGAAUUCCUAGUGUAGCGGUGAAAUGCGUAGAUAUUAGGAAGAACACCGGUGGCGAAGGCAGCUUACUGGACUGUAACUGACGUUGAGGCUCGAAAGCGUGGGGAGCAAACAGGAUUAGAUACCCCUGUAGUC
RNAcentral lists this ribosomal RNA (440 nucleotides) under uncultured bacterium. Its description in RNAcentral is "partial 16S ribosomal RNA". It matches the Rfam family "Bacterial small subunit ribosomal RNA", at positions 338 to 795 of the family's 1533-position model. The record is from RNAcentral.